GUGAAUUGAAGCCAGUUGAGUUAGGCGUUUAGCUGUUAACUAAAUAUUUGCAGGUUGAAAUCCUGUCAAUUCAG
This 74-nucleotide transfer RNA is filed under the name Sundasciurus altitudinis. Its description in RNAcentral is "tRNA-Asn". It matches the Rfam family "tRNA". From Rfam's summary of the family: Transfer RNA (tRNA) molecules are approximately 80 nucleotides in length. Their secondary structure includes four short double-helical elements and three loops (D, anti-codon, and T loops). The record is from RNAcentral. Lineage: Eukaryota; Metazoa; Chordata; Mammalia; Rodentia; Sciuridae.